Molecule: ribosomal RNA, 347 nt
Filed under: uncultured bacterium
Lineage: Bacteria
Description: bacterial SSU rRNA
Rfam family: Bacterial small subunit ribosomal RNA
Source: RNAcentral
GACGAACGCUGGCGGUGUGCUUCACACAUGCAAGUCGAACGAGGUAGCAAUACCUAGUGGCGGACGGGGUGAGUAACGCGUGGGAAUCUGCCUUUAGAUGGGGGAUAACGAGCCGAAAGGUUCGCUAAUACCGCAUAUGCCGCAAGGUGAAAGGAGUAAUCCGUCUGAAGAUGAGCCCGCGUCCGAUUAGCUAGUUGUGGGGUAAAGGCCUACCAAGGCGACGAUCGGUAGCUGGUCUGAGAGGAUGAUCAGCCACAAUGGGACUGAGACACGGCCCAUACUCCUACGGGAGGCAGCAGUGGGGAAUUUUACGCAAUGGGGGAAACCCUGACGUAGCGACACCGCGU